GACGAACGCUGGCGGCGUGCUUAACACAUGCAAGUCGAACGGAGAUCUAGAGGAAGCUUGCGAAUCUAGAUCUUAGUGGCGGACGGGUGAGUAACGCGUGGGUAACCAACCCAUAACACUGGGACAACCCUGGGAAACUGGGGCUAAUACCGGAUAACUUCUUAGGAAGGCAUCUUCUAAAGAAGAAAGGCGGCCUCUUGAAAAAGCUGCUGGUUAUGGACGGGCCCGCGUCUGAUUAGCUAGUUGGUAGGGUAACGGCCUACCAAGGCGACGAUCAGUAGCCGGCCUGAGAGGGUGGCCGGCCACACUGGGACUGAGACACGGCCCAGACUCCUACGGGAGGCAGCAGUGGGGAAUAUUGCGCAAUGGGCGAAAGCCUGACGCAGCAACGCCGCGUGAGCGAUGAAGGUCUUCGGAUCGUAAAGCUCUGUCCUUGGGGAAGAAGGUCUUCGGACUUGACGGUACCCAAGAAGAAAGCCCCGGCUAACUACGUG
Molecule: ribosomal RNA, 494 nt
Filed under: uncultured bacterium
Lineage: Bacteria
Description: bacterial SSU rRNA
Rfam family: Bacterial small subunit ribosomal RNA
Source: RNAcentral